GCCAGCAGUGGGCGAGUGAAGGAAGGACUUUGCUGUCAACUCCUUCGAGGACACGCAGGAAGCUCCUAGGGCCGCCCUGCACAGCUCACAGCCAGGCCGCCAGGCUCGGGAGGGGAACGGCGUCUCCACUCAGCCGAAGAGGAGCCUGAGGUUCUGGGAGAAGCUGACCUGGGGGUCCUCCACCCACGGGUGGGAGCAGAGCUGUCUCCUAGGGCUGCUGCGGCCUGCGAACGGCCACCAGCUGCGUGUCCACAAGAGCCACAGUUUAUUCCGCAAAGUUCCGGAGGCCAGAAGCUGAAGUCAAAUUGGCAGCGUCCGUUGUUCUUCUGAAGCCCCCCCUUGUCUCUUCCCAGUUCCUGGUGGCUCCGGUCACAUGGCCUUCUCCCUGGGAGGCAGCGUCUCCUGUCCAACUUCUCCCCCGUGCAGGUGCCCCGGGGUCGCCCGUCAUCCAGGGUGACCCCAUCUUAACCUGCUCACAUUUGCAAAGACACCGUUUCCAAAUGAGGCCACACUCAUGGCUGAGGGUUAGGACUUGUGUGUACUUUGGGGGACGGUUCAGCCCAGUAACAGGCAGGGUGGGGACAGGAGCCGGCGGCUGCUGGGUGCUCCGGGGGGUCCCCUGGGACCCUGGGUCCUCGUCACUUCAGAAGCCUGCUCUCUCUGCCACCCCACAGCCCUCCCACAGAAAUGCAGGUGUGACCAGCGCUGGGACAUGGGAGGGAGCCACUCUGCUGCGACCGGGAAGGGAAAUGAGCCAUUUCCUGGAUGUGCCUUUCCCCCAAGUCCCCAGAGGCCACCUCUGUCACCUCUGUCCAGCGCCUGGUGCACCCAUUGAGACCCACUUACUCAUCCAUGCCACAGGUGUUGAGUCUCUAGGCGGUGCCACCCACCGGGCAGCUCCCAGGCCACUGAGGGGCCAGGCACACUCCCACCCCGAGGAGCACAGAGCCCGGGGACAGAUGCAGGUGGCCCUGCCUCCACACUGGACACGGAGGGCAGGGGACCCAGCAAAACCUGGGGACGUUCUGUGGUUGCUCUGAGGGACAGAUCAGGAAGAAGACCUGGAGGGAGGCCACCUUCUGCAUCUGCACCUUCUCCAUCUCCAUGGUCCCUGAGGGCCCUGAGGCCCCAUUAACCAGCCCGUUGCUCUCCCGUCUCUGUGUCCCUUCCCCAUCCCACGCCACCACUUGGGGGUCUUGGCUCGGGCCUCUGUCUGACCAGGCUGCUGAUCGGGGGAUAGAGGUUGGAGAGGUGCUGACGCAAUCCUCCAGGGGACCCAGAAUGAAACUCUGCCUGUGUCCCUCAGCCUGACCUCAGAGAGGGGUGGGGCCUGCCCAAGGUCACACAGCAAGGCCGAGGCAGGGUUAGGACUGGAACCCAAGCGACCUGAUUCCCA
RNAcentral lists this long non-coding RNA (1396 nucleotides) under Marmota monax (woodchuck). The record is from RNAcentral. Lineage: Eukaryota; Metazoa; Chordata; Mammalia; Rodentia; Sciuridae.